GGAGGGGUUCCCGAGUGGCCAAAGGGAGCAGACUGUAAAUCUGCCGGCACUGCCUUCGAUGGUUCGAAUCCGUCUCCCUCCN
This 82-nucleotide transfer RNA is filed under the name Vibrio crassostreae. RNAcentral's name for it is "tRNA-Tyr". It matches the Rfam family "tRNA". From Rfam's summary of the family: Transfer RNA (tRNA) molecules are approximately 80 nucleotides in length. Their secondary structure includes four short double-helical elements and three loops (D, anti-codon, and T loops). Lineage: Bacteria; Pseudomonadati; Pseudomonadota; Gammaproteobacteria; Vibrionales; Vibrionaceae. The record is from RNAcentral.